Molecule: long non-coding RNA, 395 nt
Organism: Priapulus caudatus
Lineage: Eukaryota; Metazoa; Priapulida; Priapulimorpha; Priapulimorphida; Priapulidae
Exons: 3
Source: RefSeq, a predicted model, not a curated record
UCAGUUUACGAAUAUCCUGUCUCCCCGUGUCCGGUGCGUGUCAGUAAAACAGUUUCGACCACUCGCUGGAUGCCAUGUUUCGCCAGAUAUGCAUUAGGUUUAACCGAUAAGGUUUAUAACUUUUUUUUCGCAUCUGAUGAUGAAAUCGCCGUUAUUAGUGUGUGUCCGCGUCGCAGCGUGCGUAAUAUUAUCUGAGAUUUUUGUGAGAGUAGAUGGCGCUCACGGCGAACGCUCACAUGGCAGACCACGUAGAACACACCGACCAUCGACGACGGAGGAGCAGCAUGAGCAAGUGUCUGCUGAAAUGGUCGUCAACACAACGACGCCUCAUGCGUAUGAAUUGCUGCCAUUUCAAUUAGGGUUAACGAUCAUUUACAAUCCCGGUUCAAACCAGG